This is a long non-coding RNA of Rhea pennata, 3306 nucleotides long. RefSeq lists it as uncharacterized. The record is from RefSeq and is a predicted model, not a curated record. The transcript is spliced from 2 exons. NCBI's taxonomy places the organism in Eukaryota, Metazoa, Chordata, Aves, Rheiformes, Rheidae.
AUUCUUGGGGUAAGGAACGGUUGUCUUAAGGUCACUGAAGAUUAAACGUUUCUGUUUUUUUUUUUUUUUUUUUUUAAUGGCCAGGAUGAUUGCAUCUAUAGAAGUUCUCUCAUUGCAAGUCCCUUUGUUUCACAAGAGUAUAAGGACAGCAUAUCCAAGCCACAACUUAACUCCUUUGAAGAAUCAGGGGCCAAACUUGCAGCCAGAAGCUCAGGACACUUGUAGGGAAGUUACUCUUUGGUUCUUAUCUAAGAGCUCACCAACACUGAAGUUGGAUUAAAAAAAAAAAAAAUCUAUCUGAGUUGUCAUCUGUGUCAGUUGUCACAAAGGCCUUUUUUGAAAGGAUAAUUCCAAUUCUGUCCUGUUUGCAUAUUGUGAUUUCCUAGUCUCAGCAGUUCCUGCCAAAGCUCAGUCCUUAAGCUGAUGCCAGCGAUCCAGUGCUAAAUGUGUGUACUAAAGAAAACAUGUGGCUCUUGUGCUCCUUGGAAUGGUUGAUGCUGUAACCAAAACAUGAUGUGAACCAUAGUAUCCCUUGUCUGAACAGACACACAAAAGGCUCAAGAAUCUUUGCAGUCAGUAUCAGUGGCCAGAUUUAAGAAGUCACUAAGUGUCAGAAUUUCUUCCCACUUGUGCUGAAGAAUCUGAACCUCUUACAUCGUCAACAGGCAUUCUACAGCUCUCCUGAGUCACCAAGACCAGCAAAGCUGCUGCUAGAGAGAAUUCGCUUACUUUCUUCAGUGUCUCAGUCAGUGUCAAGCAAUAAUUAGAAUUUUGAGCAUUUGCAAAGAAAACUCACACUUCAUGAAAACUUUAUUUCAUGCUGUGAGCACGAAAUAGACAAUGAACAUGUAGAUCAGCACUUCUACAAGACGAGUGAAUGGAGGUGUGUUACUUCAAACUCUGUAAAUAAAAGUUGCUUAUUGGCUUACAAACACUGAAACAAAUCCAAGACACUUUCUCUGCAUGUCUUUGGUCUGUCGUUGUAUUAUGCAACGAACAACUUGGCUGUGUUCUGCGUGAUACUGUUGAAUGACAAGUUUUAAACAGUCUAUCUUGUUUAAAGCUGUUAUCUUUAUGAGGCUUAUGCAAAAUUUGACCAUAUUUCUGCCUUUCAAAAGUGAAAUAAAUUAUUCUCUGGAAAAACAAGUGCACAUAAACUUAGCUACCACUACCUUCUGAUUUGUUUUCUUGAAUCUUGAGAGAGAACUGAUGGUCCUGUUUUCCAAAUCCACAAAUUUAUUUCACUUUCAUCUUCUGAAUUAUCUAGCUCUGUUUCUUUUCCUCAGUCUCUUUAUUUCCACAGGUUUUUAUGCUUAUUUAUUCUAAAUAUGUUAAGUAACUUGUAAAGGACUUCUUAAAAUGGAUUUUCAGUAUUUUCUGAUGAAGAAAAACCCAACUUGAAGUGCUGAUCUUCAAACAAAGAAUGAUGGAAUGUCUUGAAUUUGCUACAGCAUCACUCAGGAGUAUGAAAGAUGUCCAUAACAGACAAGGUUUUGAUUUAAACAAAUAGCAUGAUGAUCUUUAUCAAGAAGAGGCUUUAAUUCAAAGAAAAAUAUGGAUGAGAAGUAAGUGCUUUUUUUUCUUUAAGAUAUCUUGGAGCUCUUCAGCAUUGUACAGGUUAAUAUAUGACAUGAUAUUUCAAGUAUUAAGGUUAAAGCUGCCCAUUAAUGAUGUGUAAUGAAUAUCCAUUUUUUUUAUUCCUAUAUGGGAACAGGAAGAAAAUGAAUGAAGGUUGACUGUAAGAAUGACAUUAAUCAAUCAUUAAGAAUAUCCUUUAUUAAUAUGACCUGAAAAAUAUAUCAUAUGCCACCAAAGUAUAUAAACCACUUAAGAUAUUCUGCAGUUAUAACAAAAUCAGUAACAGACUGCUUACAAAUACUUUCUCAGCCAACACAGACACUUUUGAGCAUUUAUACAUUUUACUGGAGCACUGGAAAAACAAAUCCCCAUCUUUUAACUUGCUCUGCAUAACUACAGAUACAUAGAAUCACAUGUCCACAGAUGCCUCUUCCUAUCACUCCAAAAUCAAAGUUUACAAGGCAGCUAUGUUUUUUGAUCCUGAAGGUCUCAAUCUGAUUGCAUGACUAGACUUCUGUCCCAGGGAGCGUGCCCUGGCAGAAAGGUCUGCUUUUGCAGAUAUUGCUGUUCCACAAGUGUCCGAUGAUUUAUAACAUGUUGGAAAAAAAAAAAAAACUGCCUCAAAUGCAGUCAGUCAAUGGAGUCUUCCCGUACUUUUCAAGGGUGCCAGGAUCAAGGGUGCCUUGGUUUCAAUAUGCCAUAUCAAUAGUAAAACUAUAAAGGAAUAUUUUGUCCAUUUGGAGAAUGUAGUGAUGAGAAAUAAGGGCAAGCCCUAUGAUCCACCUCUAACUACUGGCUGGAAAUGUAUUACUUCCAAAAGCAAAAUCCCUCCUUAAUAGUUAUUCAAGUCACUCCUUUCCCCUUUUUUUAAUAUACCUAGUGCAAAUUGAUUAGAAUAUCCUAAGCAAAAAUUUAAGUGCAGUCUCUGCAUUCCUCAGCAAAGAAAGGCUAAAAAUUUAACAAAGCACAGAAUAAUGACAUCCAAAAAAAAAAAAAAAAAAAAAAGAGAGAGAGAAGUUUACUUUUGGUGCCUCAAACUGCACAUUAUCAAGUGAUCAUCAGCACAGACUACAUUUGGAGACUCUGAGUAUCAGUUCAGGAAUUUCUGCUUGAACAUAGUUUCUAACUCUGUUAGUUUCAUCCAUUUCUAUACAUUGUAGUCUCUGCUUAUUCCUAAGUUGAAUAGUUCAAAUUUGAGAGUUCAAGUUGCAAUGUUAAAAAAGAAGUCAUAGUUGAGUUUUGGCUUUUAUGGUUAAAGAAAACCCUGAGUAUAUUGAAAAAUUGACUGUAGGUAUCCUGUAUCAGCUGUAUAAAUUAUAGUACUUAAGUGUUGUGUGUAAGUGCUGCAACCCCAACUGGAUCUGUGACUUAAUAAAACACAUUUAGAACCUUAUUUUGAAUUAAGCCUUGAUUCAGAUUUUCUUUAUCCUACAACACUGAUAGUUAAUGUCUAAUAAUGAGUUGCUUGCAAGAAAACGACAAACAUCUACUGUUAUUUUUGAAACUUAUAGCAGAUGCAGAAACAUGAUUAAUACGUUGGUGCAAAAUUGCUCUUGUAUAAUUGAAGAAAACUGCUUAUAUGUAACCAGAAACUACUGAAGUGGUAUGAAAAUAUAUAAAAAUCUAAAUACAAAAUACCUUGUUCAUUUAGUAAAAAAUUCCAGAGAAAAUGUGGUAUCAGUGAAACUUGUCUUAAAUGACCAAUAAAAAAAUGCUGUUUAAAUGGAG